AGACAGAUGAGCCACCUAAGAGAAGCAGCUGAGCUGUCUGGCACUUUGUGACUUAGCCUCUGGAGGCCACAGCACCCCUUCUACUACGCCGGUGUUCUACAGAGUCACAGAGCACAAGUCGGAGAAAAGAGGGAUUGGCAUCUUUCUUGAUGGGAAUCAUGUCAGAGAGGCAGCCCUGGGUGCCACAGGACUUGCAGCUGUGUGCCCUCCAGACCUCCAUUCUACCCAAACCUCAGCCAGAGCCCUGGGCAUCUUUGAAAGUCUGUUCACUUCCACCUCCUGCAAAGUUAGUACUUCAGCCAAGUGGCUCCCGAUCAUGUGCUCACACACCUGAAACGUCAGGUCUGGACGGUGGGCACAGAGAGCAGCAACGGACGACUGGGUGGCUCUCUGAAGACAUGAGAACAUUCAAAGCCCUGACAAAGUCUGUGACCUGGACCUAGCCGUCCAUUUCAACAUUCGCUUGAAACACUUGAAAGAAGUCUCAGGGGACUUUGAAGUCAUUCUCCCAAUGGAAGGGUUGGAAGCUGAUAGUCAUCACACCCCAAGGUAGGAGGGAUGCUUGGCUUCCUUGGGCCCCUGUUCUAGCAGGAGAGAAGGAACAUAGGAUCCGGUACAAGGAAGGGCAAAGGCUAGCACAGAACUUCCACAAGAGCUACUCAGUCUAACAAAAGCCAGCUUUAUGCACUUUCUAGAAUAACUUCACAUCUGACACCUAGCCCAUGCAAGAGAAGGACCGGGAAGAGCUGGUCUUCAUUCCAUCCUUGUAUAGCAGAGGCCAAGGCUGGAAUUCAAAGCCUGCCAAGCAAGCUCUCGGCCUCUGUUCUAGUGACCAGUGAGCUCCUAAGAAAGAAGCUCUCAUCUGCCUUCCCAGGGAGAGUGUCUCUGUGGGCUGAGGGAGAGCUCAGCGGUGGAGCUUGCCCAGGAGUUUGCAAGGCCUCAAGUUUGAUCUCUGGCCCCACC
RNAcentral lists this long non-coding RNA (963 nucleotides) under Mus musculus (house mouse). RNAcentral's name for it is "long non-coding RNA chr3:101297486-101298449". The record is from RNAcentral. Lineage: Eukaryota; Metazoa; Chordata; Mammalia; Rodentia; Muridae.